GACGAACGCUGGCGGCGUGGAUUAGGCAUGCAAGUCGAACGGUAUCAUCCUUUCGGGGGUGAGAGAGUGGCGAACUGGUGAGUAACACGUAGGUUAUCUACCCUCAAAACGGGGACAACCCAGGGAAACUUGGGCUAAUACCGGAUGCGUGCAAGCAAUGUUUUGGCUGUUAAUGCUAUUCACGGAAGUGAGUGGUGUUAAUGGUUGAGAGCAUAAUUUGCAUAAAAGGUGGCGUAAGCUGCCGUUUGAGGAUGAGCCUGCGUCCUAUUAGUUAGUUGGUGAGGUAAUGGCUUACCAAGGCGAUGAUAGGUAGGCGGCCUUAAACGGGUGGUCGCCCACACUGGGAUUGAGAUACGGCCCAGACUCCUACGGGAGGCAGCAGUCGAGAAUAGUCUACAAUGGACGAAAAGUCUGAUAAGUGCGACGCCGCGUGAACGAAGAAACCUUUCGGGUGUAAAGUUCUUUUCUAUGUGAGCAGUCCUUUUAUAUGAAGAGUAUAAAGGGGGAGUUAAGCA
RNAcentral lists this ribosomal RNA (515 nucleotides) under uncultured bacterium. Its description in RNAcentral is "bacterial SSU rRNA". It matches the Rfam family "Bacterial small subunit ribosomal RNA", at positions 28 to 480 of the family's 1533-position model. The record is from RNAcentral.